Molecule: non-coding RNA, 608 nt
Organism: Anas platyrhynchos (mallard)
Lineage: Eukaryota; Metazoa; Chordata; Aves; Anseriformes; Anatidae
Source: RefSeq, a predicted model, not a curated record
CCUCUAUGUGAAUUGAUAAAGAUUAACUGGAGAAGCACAAAAAGUCUUUAAACAACUUAAACAAGAAUUGAUGAUUUUAAAAUAUCAAGCAAUAUUAGUAGAACAAGAUGAUGUGGGAAUUGUGGUCAUUAACAUCGUAAAUCCAGCUUCUUUCCUUAGUGGAACUCUGGAUCAACCCAUAACCCAUGAUUGUAUAGAAACAAUGGAGACUGUGUAUUCUAAUCGACCCGAUCUUAAGGAAGAACUUUUAGAAGAUGCUGACGAAUCUUGGUAUACUGAUGGAAGCAGCUUUGUGAAACAAGGACAACGUAAGGCAGGGUACGCCAUUACAACCACUCAACAGACUUUUUCAGGACAACCCCUAGAGGAAAAACGGAAGGAAUGUGGACGGGACCAUACCAGGUAUUACUGACAACACACACCGCCAUUAAGAUGAAGGAGCAAGCAGCUUGGAUCCACGAUUCAAGGGUGAAGGCCCUGGCGAGGAUAUGGACCACCACUCCAAUUGGACCAACAAAAUUAUGGUUUUCCAGAUCCUAAUGAUUGCAGGGGUGUGGUUCUCAGAUUCGGGGUGGGCAGUUUGGGAUGAGAACUUACACCUGUCCCUG